UACGUAGGGUGCGAGCGUUAAUCGGAAUUACUGGGCGUAAAGCGUGCGCAGGCGGUUUUGUAAGCCAGAUGUGAAAGCCCCGGGCUCAACCUGGGAAUGGCAUUUGGGACUGCAAGGCUGGAGUUUGGCAGAGGAGACUGGAAUUCCUGGUGUAGCAGUGAAAUGCGUAGAUAUCUGGAGGAACACCGGUGGCGAAGGCGGCAUCCUGGACCAAUUCUGACACUGAGGAGCGAAAGCCAGGGGAGCAAACGGG
RNAcentral lists this ribosomal RNA (253 nucleotides) under uncultured bacterium. Its description in RNAcentral is "partial 16S ribosomal RNA". It matches the Rfam family "Bacterial small subunit ribosomal RNA", at positions 524 to 776 of the family's 1533-position model. The record is from RNAcentral.